ACGGAAGGCAGCAGUGGGGAAUAUUGGACAAUGGGGGAAACCCUGAUCCAGCGACGCCGCGUGAGUGAAGAAGUAUUUCGGUAUGUAAAGCUCUAUCAGCAGGGAAGAUAAUGACGGUACCUGACUAAGAAGCCCCGGCUAACUACGUGCCAGCAGCCGCGGUAAUACAUAGGGAGCAAGCGUUAUCCGGAUUUACUGGGUGUAAAGGGUGCGUAGGCGGCAUGGUAAGUCAGUCGUUAAAGACCAGAGCUUAACUCUGGACCAGCGAUUGAAACUAUCAAGCUAGAGUACAGGAGAGGUUAGUGGAAUUACUAGUGUAGAGGUGGAAUUCAUAGAUAUUAGUAAGAACACCAAUGGCGAAGGCAGCUAACUGGCCUGAAACUGACGCUGAGGCACGAAAGUGUGGGGAGCAAACAGGAUUAGAUACCCUGGUA
This 434-nucleotide ribosomal RNA is filed under the name uncultured Lachnospiraceae bacterium. Its description in RNAcentral is "bacterial SSU rRNA". It matches the Rfam family "Bacterial small subunit ribosomal RNA", at positions 341 to 792 of the family's 1533-position model. Lineage: Bacteria; Bacillati; Bacillota; Clostridia; Lachnospirales; Lachnospiraceae. The record is from RNAcentral.